UGAUGUGGCGAAAAGUAACGCGCUCACCACUGGUCUCAGAGGAUCCAACACUGAAGAAGAGACGUGACACCAGUUUUUUCAGUUUACGGGUCAUUCAGUGAAACCCAUGUUAAAUGUUGAGACAGAAUAUCUAACGUGAUUUGGCAUGAAAUAUAGGUUACAUGUGAUGUGACAGGUAGUUUGAAAUGUAAUGUUAUUGUCUGGGCAUUUUUACAGCAAAGAUGACAGAGAGAAGGAGAGGGAGGAGAAAAACUCCUGAUCAGGAUGCUAUUGACCACAUUACCAUUGGAGAAGACAAAUCUUUCCUGGAAGGAAGAUUUAUUAACACACAUAAAGGGAGAGGUGUGCUUACACAAGACUACAUUGAACCAAAAAGUUUUGUGGUGGAGUAUCGUGGAGUUUUGUCUCUGAGCGACAGUGCAGAUGACAAAAACAGCAAAUAUGCAUUUGAGUUCAUGUGGAAUGGGAAGCACUAUUGCAUAGAUGCUUCAAAAGAGGACGGAACACUGGGACGACUAGUGAAUGAUGAUCACAUACAUCCCAACUGCAAAGUCAAGAGGAUAAUGGUCAAAGGAAGGCCACACUUGUGUCU
This is a long non-coding RNA of Gadus morhua (Atlantic cod), 592 nucleotides long. RefSeq lists it as uncharacterized. The record is from RefSeq and is a predicted model, not a curated record. The transcript has 3 exons. NCBI's taxonomy places the organism in Eukaryota, Metazoa, Chordata, Actinopteri, Gadiformes, Gadidae.